GACAGAGGGUGCAAACGUUGUUCGGAAUUACUGGGCGUAAAGCGCGUGUAGGCGGCUAUGUAAGUCGGGCGUGAAAUCCCACGGCUCAACCGUGGAAGUGCACCCGAAACUGCGUAGCUAGAGUCCUGGAGAGGAAGGUGGAAUGCUUGGUGUAGAGGUGAAAUGCGCAGAUAUCAGGAAGAACACCCGUGGCGAAGGCGGCUCUCUGGGACGGUACUGACGCUGAGACGCGAAAGCGUGGGGAGCGAACAGG
This 253-nucleotide ribosomal RNA is filed under the name uncultured bacterium. RNAcentral describes it as "partial 16S ribosomal RNA". It matches the Rfam family "Bacterial small subunit ribosomal RNA", at positions 524 to 776 of the family's 1533-position model. The record is from RNAcentral.